Molecule: ribosomal RNA, 377 nt
Filed under: uncultured bacterium
Lineage: Bacteria
Description: bacterial SSU rRNA
Rfam family: Bacterial small subunit ribosomal RNA
Source: RNAcentral
UAAUACAGAGGGGGCAAGCGUUAUUCGGAAUUAUUGGGCGUAAAGGGCGCGUAGGCGGCUUUUCAAGUGACGGGUGAAAUCCCUCGGCUUAACCGAGGAACUGCCUGUCAGACUGGAAGGCUUGAGACCGGGAGAGGUGAGUGGAAUUCCCAGUGUAGCGGUGAAAUGCGUAGAUAUUGGGAGGAACACCAGUGGCGAAGGCGGCUCACUGGACCGGAACUGACGCUGAGGCGCGAAAGCGUGGGGAGCAAACAGGAUUAGAUACCCUGGUAGUCCACGCCGUAAACGAUGAGUGCUUGGUGUAGCGGGUAUCGACCCCUGCUGUGCCGAAGUCAACACAUUAAGCACUCCGCCUGGGGAGUACGGUCGCAAGACUG